Molecule: non-coding RNA, 370 nt
Organism: Pimephales promelas (fathead minnow)
Lineage: Eukaryota; Metazoa; Chordata; Actinopteri; Cypriniformes; Leuciscidae
Source: RefSeq, a predicted model, not a curated record
UUUUCACAUGGUUGGUUUUUCAAGCAGAAAAUAACGGCACAGAUAUUCAGCCUACAUCGCCGUCAUGAUCACUGGUGAACCCAUCUCCUCUAAAUUGAAGGUGCUGUAAGGAGUGAGGUGCCCUUCCCUGAUAGGAGAAAAAACACCUAAACAAGGUAUAACCAUAUGGAACUAAUAAAUCCAUGAAGACCGAUCCCGUAGUGAUGCCCCCAGUCCCCCGCCCAGGUCCAGGCAUGAUAAAAGAGUACAGCGCAGUGAUCUCAGCACAUGACAGGCACGAUGCAGUGACUGAGACUGGGAGAUGCAGUGACUGAGACUGUGUUCCAGAAAAAUGUCCUGAAACUACUGGUCGACAUCCGCCAUCGCCAGA